ACCCGCCGGGGGGAGGGGGAAGGGGCACCCGGUGGCGCCCGGCUCGACUAUGUCAGCGCGGGUCCCGGGGGUGCGAGUCCCUGCCCCGGGCUGGUAGGACCUACUCCCUUCCCUGGCCUCAAGGCGCUCUUCAGAAUCUAAAAAGAAAACAGUUGGGGGCACGGUGCCCGUGAGCUGGGGCGCACGCCAGGGACAUCUUCCCUCCCCUGGUCCCUCCCCGAGCUUGAGGUCAGAACAGAGAUGAGAAUCUAGAGGAGAAAGGAAACUUUUGGGCUGAUGCCCACGCCGGGAAAGCUCUGGCCGACUCUUCGCGGCGCAAGCAUCUCGGUCUUCAUUUUACAGAUGAGCAUACUUGAAGCUUAGAGGAACCCAUUCAUUUCUUAAUCCAGCAGUUAUUAAAGCACCUACUUUGUGCCAGGCCCUGGGCUAGGCUCUGGAGAGACAACCACGAACAAGACACACGCUCAUGAAGGAAGACGCAAAACCUAAGGGAGUGGUGCCCAGCUGAACUCGGGCCCGCAGAGGUCCUCACAGAGGGGCCCAGGAGGGGCCUACCAGCUCUGCCACACGUGUAUCAAUACAGAGUGGUGGGCUGCCUCCCUGGACCUCUGUUUCUCCAUGUGGAAGUAGAGAACAUCUGCUCCCUUCCCCUAACUUUCUGGGAGGAAGGCCAGGGAGGAAGAGCCCUCUCUCCCCCAAGGUCUUGGUUCUUUUGGACAGGUCCACUUGCCAGAAGACCAAGGGGGCUUAUUUCUGCCAAAGCUGCAGGACAGGCCUCAGGGCUGGGCACGGAGCCCUAGUGACCUCACUGCCGGAGCAGGUACAGGGGGAGGAGGGGGAUGGGAUAGUUUCUAACUCAAGGGCACAACCUUUAGACACAGGGCCUCCUCUCUCAAACACUGAGUGGCUGAAGAGCCAGGGACAAGAGCUCUCUCCCUACAUGGUCUUUAUAAAGCAGUGCUGGAGAGCUGGGGCUGGGCUAACAGCUGCUGGCAGAUAGAUAUGGGUUCCAGUUCUGAUUCCAGUGGGUUCUAGCCGUGGCUGUGGGCAGUUCACUUAAGCCACUCUGAGUCUCAGUUUCAUCUCGAAAAUGGAGGAAAUGACAGUAUUUACCGUAUAGAGGUGUUGGGAGAUCAAAUGAGAUAAUGCAUUUAAAAUGCUGUACAGUGGUUAAGAAUCCGCCUGCCAAUGCAGGGGACACAAUGUUCGAGCCCUGGUCCAGGAAGAUCCCACAUGCUGCGGGGCAGCUAAGCCCGUGCGCCACAGCUGCUGAGCCUGUGCUCUAGAGCCUGCAAGCCACAACUACUGAGUCUGCAUGCUACAACUACUGAAGCCCCUGCACCUAGAGCCCGUGCUCCGCAACAAGAGAAGCCACCGCAAUGAGAAGCCACACACCGCGACAAAGAGAGUAGCCCCUGCUUGCCGCAACUAGAGAAAGCCCGCAUGCAGCAAUGAAGACCCAAUGCAGCCAAAAAUAAAUACAAUAAAUAAAUUAAAAAAAAAUUUUUUUAAUGCUGAGCAAGGUAGAUUGAAUAAAUGUUUGCUUGCUGCUA
Molecule: long non-coding RNA, 1553 nt
Organism: Physeter macrocephalus (sperm whale)
Lineage: Eukaryota; Metazoa; Chordata; Mammalia; Artiodactyla; Physeteridae
Exons: 2
Source: RefSeq, a predicted model, not a curated record